RNAcentral lists this RNase P RNA (385 nucleotides) under Prevotella sp. RNAcentral's name for it is "RNase P RNA component class A". It matches the Rfam family "Bacterial RNase P class A". From Rfam's summary of the family: Ribonuclease P (RNase P) is a ubiquitous endoribonuclease, found in archaea, bacteria and eukarya as well as chloroplasts and mitochondria. Its best characterised activity is the generation of mature 5'-ends of tRNAs by cleaving the 5'-leader elements of precursor-tRNAs. The record is from RNAcentral. RNAcentral also lists the same sequence under 1 other name. Lineage: Bacteria; Pseudomonadati; Bacteroidota; Bacteroidia; Bacteroidales; Prevotellaceae.
ACACUGCUGCGGCUUGUCGCUGGUACACAAAUAUUGGUGUACGAGAGGAAAGUCCGGGCAGCACAGGACACUCCACUUCCGAAAAUAGAAGCUGUUGGCGACAGCAGGAUCAGGCAGAAGAGAACGACCGCUCCAUAUCGUUUGGAGUAAGGGUGAGAAGGUGGUGUAAGAGACCACCAGCCGCCGGGCGAUCGGCGGGCUGUGCCUUCUGGAGGCUGCAAGUUCAUGUAAACCAUCGUUAAAAGGGUCGUCCGCCCGAAUGCCCCGUGGCUACGAUGGAGGGUAGAAUGCUUAAGCCGUGUGGUGACAUACGGAUUAGAUAAAUGACAGGCACAACAAUGCACGCAUUGCUGGACAGAACCCGGCUUAUAGCGGCAGUGUUUCC